This is a non-coding RNA of Vicia faba (fava bean), 255 nucleotides long. Lineage: Eukaryota; Viridiplantae; Streptophyta; Magnoliopsida; Fabales; Fabaceae. The record is from the annotation of a GenBank genome assembly.
AUGGAGGAGUUUGUGGAAGCUUUUGAGCUUCUAUCGUCACAAGUGGGUCGAUUACCAGAGGCUUUGAAUUUGAAUCAGCUUAAGAGUCAUUUGUUGCGUGCUCAACAACAAAUGAAGAACCUUGAGGACGAGGCUGUUGUGAAGGACCGAGGUGUUGAUAGAGACUUAGAUGAAGAAGUUGGGCUUGACUUUGGGCAUAAGCCAAAAGUGUGGAGGGUUUAUACUAGAAGACGUGAUAAAGGAAUAAAGGAAUAG